RNAcentral lists this long non-coding RNA (1187 nucleotides) under Cucumis sativus (cucumber). Its description in RNAcentral is "long non-coding RNA (CSAT_LNC001858)". Lineage: Eukaryota; Viridiplantae; Streptophyta; Magnoliopsida; Cucurbitales; Cucurbitaceae. The record is from RNAcentral.
UUUUUUCUUUUUGUGUAUAUAAGUUUUUCUGAGACCCAACUCUUUAUACAUUAUUAUUAAAAUAAAUAAAAACUUUUUUUAAUAAGAUUUUUUCUAUGGCAAGUUACAAUCACUUCUUGUUAUUUGUCAGCUUUCAUCUACUUCUACCUUUGCCUGAAAAAUUAAACAUAUAAAGAGUGAGUAUAGACAUAUUACUCAUUAAGGGACCCACUGCUAUAACAACAACGUGUUUCUUUGGAAGAAAAUAGGUGAAUGCAACAACAACGUGUUUCUUUGGAAGAAAAUCGGUGAACAUCGUGUGGAUUUGAACACCACACUGAGCUAGUCUUAGGUUCUUAGUAAAACAAAGAAAGCAAAACCUUUCUACGUUGUUAGAUGUUCUUGCUUAUUAAUAGUUUUUAUCUUCAAAACCAUUUCACAAAGAAACUAAGCAAACCAUAUAAUAAAAGAAGUCAUUCAAAGAACAAGUUAUUCAAAAUCAGUAUGGGAAUAAGCUAAGCAAAAGCAUAGAAAAAAGGACUAAGAGCUUCUAAUUCAAACUUUCUGCUCGGAACACGGCUUGAAAGUGUAAAGUUGGCAACAAAUCCAUCUAAGAUGAAGCAGGUUAGGAAUUGCCUCUUUCUAAUGCCAUGAAAUUUACAGCAUGCUGCUACUCUUUUCUUAUUAACCUUUCCGUUUGCUAAUAUUUCCCUUCAAUUUCUACGGUAUGUUUCUAUUAUAUUUUCUAAGACAUGUGAAUUCUUAUCAAAUUUUAAAAAUAAAAAUAUUAUCAAACGAUAAGAAACAUGAAAAUGGAAGUAUGAAUGGAACGCAAGAACGCAAGUGACUAUAUUUAUGAUAACACGAAAGUCAAUCAUAGCAAACUUCAUGAUUAUGGUCAAUAUUACAAUUCAGUGAUAUUUUUUAAACAAAAUUGUACCGAUAUAUACCUAUUGAAAGACUGACAAAAAGGUAUUUUUGAAUCUUUUUUAAAGUUAAAAAGACCAUUUUAAAAGCUCAAAGACAUUUCAAAGUAUGGAGACAUUUUUUAUAACAAGGCAAAAGCAAAUUAGAAUAAAAGGCAUAAACAUAAACCUCUGAAAUCGAAGCGCGUGAGGGUGCUGCAAUGGAAAUUGGCGGGUGAUUAUACCUUAAUUCCUUCCGUCUUCGUAAAACCUUCAAACCCUCUUUGAUACAGCUCUUAGACA